Molecule: non-coding RNA, 136 nt
Organism: Brachypodium distachyon (stiff brome)
Lineage: Eukaryota; Viridiplantae; Streptophyta; Magnoliopsida; Poales; Poaceae
Source: Rfam
GUUAUACUCCCUCCAUCCAACAAAAGAUGUCUCAAGUUUGUCAAAAUUUGGAUGUAUCUAGACAUGACUUAGUGUAUAGAUGCAUUCAAAUUUAGUAAAAGUUGAGACAUAUUUUGUUGGACGGAGGAAAUAUAAU